AUGCUCAGGAGGCGGCAUUAUAACAUCAAUGAAGGUUUCAAUUGCGUCCUUUGUAACGCUGGGGUGGAGGAAACCAUUGAGCAUUUAAUUUUCACGUGUCCCUUUAGCUCUUCUUGCUGGCAUAAAGUGGGGAUUACGUGGAACUUACACCACUCCAAGAUUGAUGCCUUCCAAGCUGCCAGACAAUCUUUUAACGGGGAACUCUUCUUUGAAUUUGUGGGAAUUGUGGCCUGGAAUAUUUGGAAGGAAAGGAAUAACUUUAUUUUCAGGCAGAUACCUCCCUCUUUGGCUGCUUGGAGGGGAAGGACUAAGGAGGACCUCCUCUGGAUCAAAUUUAGAGUAGACAAAGCUCACUGGGACUACAUUACUCUAUUUGCCCUAGCUUUGUAA
RNAcentral lists this ribosomal RNA (390 nucleotides) under Triticum aestivum (bread wheat). Its description in RNAcentral is "partial small subunit ribosomal RNA". The record is from RNAcentral. Lineage: Eukaryota; Viridiplantae; Streptophyta; Magnoliopsida; Poales; Poaceae.